AGGGGUUUGACAUAAUAUAUCCAUACCCUAAUGAUAUGAUUGAGAGUAUUGUUUUAGAGAAGGAUCGAAUUACAUUGUAAUUCCAACUGAAUAGGUUCUCCGAAUAAACUUCUACAUUAGCUUGGGUGGCUAUGACAUAUCGUUAGAUGUCACUCAUAGCUUGUGAGUUCUUCUAGAUGAUUAAAUGUAGUCGUCAAAGAAGAAAGAUGAAUUAAAAUGAAGUUUUAAUUCACUAAGUGAUUGAAUUAAAUAUAAGCAAUUGGAUUGAUACCAAUCACCUCACUGCCUUGCUAAUUAGAACCUAAAAGAUUGUUCACCAAUACACUAUUGUAGUGAGUAACUAAUGGAUGAUGGAAAUAAUUAAUUGGAUUAAUUAAGUGUUGUGAUUAAUUUAGAAACUCUAAAGAAAUCAUAAAAGCGAUAAAGAUCGUUUUGGGCUUAAAGAAACGUUCGGGUUU
Molecule: long non-coding RNA, 458 nt
Filed under: Malus domestica (apple)
Lineage: Eukaryota; Viridiplantae; Streptophyta; Magnoliopsida; Rosales; Rosaceae
Description: long non-coding RNA (MDOM_LNC017943)
Source: RNAcentral